GUACACAAAAAUGCACAUACUGUGAGCUCGAUGAGUAGGGCGGGACACGUGGUAUCCUGUCUGAAUAUGGGGGGACCAUCCUCCAAGGCUAAAUACUCCUGACUGACCGAUAGUGAACCAGUACCGUGAGGGAAAGGCGAAAAGAACCCCGGCGAGGGGAGUGAAAAAGAACCUGAAACCGUGUACGUACAAGCAGUGGGAGCCUCUUAAUGGGGUGACUGCGUACCUUUUGUAUAAUGGGUCAGCGACUUAUAUUCUGUAGCAAGGUUAACCGAAUAGGGGAGCCGAAGGGAAACCGAGUCUUAACUGGGCGUUAAGUUGCAGGGUAUAGACCCGAAACCCGGUGAUCUAGCCAUGGGCAGGUUGAAGGUUGGGUAACACUAACUGGAGGACCGAACCGACUAAUGUUGAAAAAUUAGCGGAUGACUUGUGGCUGGGGGUGAAAGGCCAAUCAAACCGGGAGAUAGCUGGUUCUCCCCGAAAGCUAUUUAGGUAGCGCCUCGUGAAUUCAUCUCCGGGGGUAGAGCACUGUUUCGGCAAGGGGGUCAUCCCGACUUACCAACCCGAUGCAAACUGCGAAUACCGGAGAAUGUUAUCACGGGAGACACACGGCGGGUGCUAACGUCCGUCGUGAAGAGGGAAACAACCCAGACCGCCAGCUAAGGUCCCAAAGUCAUGGUUAAGUGGGAAACGAUGUGGGAAGGCCCAGACAGCCAGGAUGUUGGCUUAGAAGCAGCCAUCAUUUAAAGAAAGCGUAAUAGCUCACUGGUCGAGUCGGCCUGCGCGGAAGAUGUAACGGGGCUAAACCAUGCACCGAAGCUGCGGCAGCGACACUAUGUGUUGUUGGGUAGGGGAGCGUUCUGUAAGCCUGUGAAGGUG
This 879-nucleotide ribosomal RNA is filed under the name Escherichia coli. Its description in RNAcentral is "partial 23S ribosomal RNA". It matches the Rfam family "Bacterial large subunit ribosomal RNA", at positions 375 to 1258 of the family's 2925-position model. The record is from RNAcentral. Lineage: Bacteria; Pseudomonadati; Pseudomonadota; Gammaproteobacteria; Enterobacterales; Enterobacteriaceae.